RNAcentral lists this long non-coding RNA (573 nucleotides) under Homo sapiens (human). RNAcentral's name for it is "long non-coding RNA NONHSAT180117.1". Lineage: Eukaryota; Metazoa; Chordata; Mammalia; Primates; Hominidae. The record is from RNAcentral.
UGCGCGUGGAUCCGAGCGACCAUGGUGGCCCGGGUGUGGUCGCUGAUGAGUUCCUCAUCAAGGGAAGUGUGGCUGGGGGCGCCGUCUACCUGGUGUACGACCAGGAGCUGCUGGGGCCCAGCGACAAGAGCCAGGCAGCCCUACAGAAGGCUGGGGAGGUGGUCCCCCCCGCCAUGUACCAGUUCAGCCAGUACGUGUGUCAGCAGACAGGCCUGCAGAUACCCCACUCCCAGCCCCUCCAAAGAUUUACUUUCCCAUCCGUGACUCCUGGAAUGCAGCAUCAUGACGGUGAUGUCAGCUCUGUCGGUGGCCCCCUCCAAGGCCCGCGAGUACUCCAAGGAGGGCUGGGAGUAUGUGAAGGCGCGCACCAAGUAGCGAGUCAGCAGGGGCCGCCUGCCCCGGCCAGAACGGGCAGGGCUGCCACUGACCUGAAGACUCCGGACUGGGACCCCACUCCGAGGGCAGCUCCCGGCCUUGCCGGCCCAAUAAAGGACUUCAGAAGUGUUCCCUGACCCGUGUGCUGGCCCCAGGGAGCACAGGGUUGGCCUGGUGGUGCCCAGAGCACCGAGGCCU